GAUGAACGCUGGCGGCGUGCCUAAUACAUGCAAGUCGAGCGAAUGGAUUAAGAGCUUGCUCUUAUGAAGUUAGCGGCGGACGGGUGAGUAACACGUGGGUAACCUGCCCAUAAGACUGGGAUAACUCCGGGAAACCGGGGCUAAUACCGGAUAAUAUUUUUAACUGCAUGGUUCAAAAUUGAAAGGCGGCUUCGGCUGUCACUUAUGGAUGGACCCGCGUCGCAUUAGCUAGUUGGUGAGGUAACGGCUCACCAAGGCAACGAUGCGUAGCCGAACUGAGAGGGUGUCCGGCCAGACGAGGAGUGGGACAAGGCACAGACUGCUACGGGAGACAGCAGUAGGGAAUCGUCCGCAAUGGACGAAAGACUGACGGAGCAACGCCGCGUGAGUGAUGAAGGCUUUCGGGUCGUAAAACUCUGUUGUUAGGGAAGAACAAGUGCUAGUUGAAUAAGCUGGCUCCUUGACGGUACCUAAACAGAAAGCCACGGCUAACUACGUGCCAGCCGCCGCGGUAA
RNAcentral lists this ribosomal RNA (515 nucleotides) under uncultured bacterium. RNAcentral's name for it is "partial 16S ribosomal RNA". It matches the Rfam family "Bacterial small subunit ribosomal RNA", at positions 28 to 523 of the family's 1533-position model. The record is from RNAcentral.